RNAcentral lists this ribosomal RNA (388 nucleotides) under uncultured bacterium. RNAcentral describes it as "bacterial SSU rRNA". It matches the Rfam family "Bacterial small subunit ribosomal RNA", at positions 30 to 416 of the family's 1533-position model. The record is from RNAcentral.
AUUGAACGCUGGCGGCAUGCCUUACACAUGCAAGUCGAACGGCAGCACGGGAGCAAUCCUGGUGGCGAGUGGCGAACGGGUGAGUAAUAUAUCGGAACGUGCCCAGUCGUGGGGGAUAACGUAGCGAAAGCUACGCUAAUACCGCAUACGAUCUAUGGAUGAAAGCGGGGGGAUCGCAAGACCUCGCGCGAUUGGAGCGGCCGAUAUCAGAUUAGGUAGUUGGUGAGGUAAAGGCUCACCAAGCCGACGAUCUGUAGCUGGUCUGAGAGGACGACCAGCCACACUGGGACUGAGACACGGCCCAGACUCCUACGGGAGGCAGCAGUGGGGAAUUUUUGGACAAUGGGCGCAAGCCUGAUCCAGCAAUGCCGCGUGCAGGAUGAAGGCC